CAGCCUAUACUGGUUGAAUGCACGAAUGCCAGGAAGGCACGAAAACGGAGGGAACUACAAAAAUGAAAGAUACAGAGAUUCAACCGCUCCAGUCUUUGUUGAGGGUAAACAUUUGGACACAUUUGGGUUUUUACCAAAUACCCGGAAAGAGAGUUUGACGUGAGCUUCACCGUGUUCAACGUUCGCAAAAUGAAGACAGCACUUCCGGAGCGCAGCUAAUGCAGGAAGCUAAGCUACGUCGGAGCUAAGACACUCCAGAAUGUCUGCCAUUCUAAGGGGAAAGAUGGAGUUGAAGAAAACACAACAGGAGGACUUGCAAACUCCAACACAGAAAUGAUUCAAACUUUAGACCUUCUUGUUUUGAGUUUACUGCGCUCACCACUAUUCCACCAUGCAGCCACUGUCUUCAUCAUAGUCAUGCAAUGCAGAGACUGGACUCAGAUGAGCAAACGACGCUGUCGACACAAUCAGCCCAGAGACAGAGAGAAGACCGUGUGUCAUCAGAGGAGGACUUGAGAACCAGCAGGGAAUGAAAGGCACACAGGAAAACCAAGGGAAGGUGUGGAACCGAAAGGAAAUGAGAAGUAAAUACAAAAACACAAGAAUAAACCAGGAAACUAAAUAUGAAGGAAUGGACUUAAGACCUUUGUACCUGUUACAAAGGAACCCAAACAUAAGUAAAAUGGAAGUGAUUUAAAAACAAAUGACACUAAACUGAAGCACUUCAGGAUUGUGACAAUAGUCAGACCUGGUUAGUGAAACUGAACCAAAAUACGGCUCCUCACAAUCAACUGUUCAUUGACGGGGGGAAUGACGUUUUCAGAGAUCCAGACUGGUAGUGUCUUCCUUUACUAAAUGUAGUCAUCAUUUUGAGAACUGCUUUCUGUUUUCACUGGUGCUCUUCACUCAGAUAUGAGAACUGACACAAGAGGAAAGCUGAAAUGAAGCCGAGACUUUUAAUCAAACCAGAAGUUUGCACCUUUCUCUUCAUUCGUUUCACAUUCUCUGAGCCUACACAAACACGACACACGUCGGCUUUCGUCGC
Long non-coding RNA from Poecilia reticulata (guppy), 1045 nucleotides. RefSeq lists it as uncharacterized. NCBI's taxonomy places the organism in Eukaryota, Metazoa, Chordata, Actinopteri, Cyprinodontiformes, Poeciliidae. The record is from RefSeq and is a predicted model, not a curated record.